AUUGAACGCUGGCGGCAGGCCUAACACAUGCAAGUCGAGCGGAUGAAGGGAGCUUGCUCCUGGAGUCAGCGGCGGACGGGUGAGUAAUGCCUAGGAAUCUGCCUGGUAGUGGGGGAUAACGUCCGGAAACGGGCGCUAAUACCGCAUACGUCCUGAGGGAGAAAGUGGGGGGUCUUCGGACCUCACGCUAUCAGAUGAGCCUAGGUCGGAUUAGCUAGUUGGUGGGGUAAAGGCCUACCAAGGCGACGAUCCGUAACUGGUCUGAGAGGAUGAUCAGUCACACUGGAACUGAGACACGGUCCAGACUCCUACGGGAGGCAGCAGUGGGGAAUAUUGGACGAUGGGCGAAAGCCUGAUCCAGCCAUGCAGCGUGUGUGAAGAAGGUCUUCGGAUUGUAAAGCACUUUAAGUUGGGAGGACGGGCAGUAAGUUAAGCCCUGGCUGUUUUGACGUUACCAACAGAAUAAGCACCGGCUAACUUCGG
RNAcentral lists this ribosomal RNA (483 nucleotides) under uncultured bacterium. RNAcentral describes it as "partial 16S ribosomal RNA". It matches the Rfam family "Bacterial small subunit ribosomal RNA", at positions 30 to 506 of the family's 1533-position model. The record is from RNAcentral.